This 2048-nucleotide long non-coding RNA is filed under the name Equus caballus (horse). RNAcentral's name for it is "lncRNA (ENSECAG00000044602.1)". The record is from RNAcentral. Lineage: Eukaryota; Metazoa; Chordata; Mammalia; Perissodactyla; Equidae.
GUGCAAUAGAUAGUUAAUAUAGUCCCAGAGAUGUUGUAACAAUAUGACUAUAAUCAUCCUGUGUGUGCCCAGGCUUAAUGGUUUGAGGCCGUGUGAGGUGGGGCAGGGGACACAAGCCUAAAAUGCCAGACCUCCAGAGGCCGGUUUGGUUUGGCAGACAUUGUUUAUUAAAAGAUUCUCCCGUGCCAAGUCCAAGCCUAAAAUGAGUAAGACAGCUGCAUACCCUCCGGUGGCUGGGGAUGGCCCACAAAGUGUGGUGGAUACAAAUAGACUUUCAUAUCAUUCUUUCAUGUAUUUAUACAACAAAUAUCUAUUUUGAACCUACUAUGUGCAGAGUACUGGGAUAGGUCUUGGAGACAUAGAAUAAUAAAGCAAAGACCCCACCCCAAGAACCCCCUUCCAUUGUCUCCAAUACAAUUGUGAGUGGUCUAAAGAGGUGUUCCAGAAGCGUGAGGGGGGGUGGACGGAAGGGACAACUGUUUUGAUCAGUUACAUACUAUUAAUAAUUAUAACCACCAAAUCCAAGAAAACAGUAACACUUAGAGCCUAUAGGGAAUAAGAAAAAUAUUAAGUAUAAAUUUACAAAGAUACCCACCAGAAAGGCUAAAAUGAAAGUGUCUGACAAGAUCAAGUGUUGACGAAAAUAUAAAGCAACUGAAACUCUCAAACUCUGGGGGAAAUGUAAGUUGGUAAAACCCUGUUGUAAAAUUGGCGGUAUCUACUAAAGCUGAGCGCAUGCCAACCUAAGACCCAGCAGUUCCACCCCUGGAUACAUACACAACAGAAACAAGAGCUUAUGUCUACCAAGACAUGUGCAAGAAUGUUCCUCACUGCGCUCUUCAUACUUGCCCCAAACUGGAAUCCACCUAAAUGUCUCUCCACGGUAGAAUGGAUAUAUAAGUUGUGGUGUAGUCACACAGUAGAAUACUAGUAUACAGCAAUGAGUAUGAAUGAAAAUAUUGCUACACGUAACAAUGGAUAAAUCUCACAGGCACGAUGUUGAGCAAAAGAAGACAGUACACACAAAAGUGCUCGCUGGAUGGUUCUACUUGUAGAAAAAUAGAGAAAUAAGCAAAAUUGAUCUAUGGUGUUGGGAGUCAGCAUGGUUACUUUGGGAGGGAUAGAGCCAGGAAUGGGUGUUCUGGGGCGUGGCUCUACCUCCUGGUUUGGGUGUUGGUUUCAUGAGUAUUUCAGUUUGUAUUCAGACUUCCUGCUGGAGAUGUGGAAAUAAACCAAGAUCAUCCAAAUGAGAACAAGCAGAGGCUGUUCAUUCAGAGCUUGCAAGGGAGUCAGCCACCAUCACUUGCGUUUGGCAGGGAGGGACUCAAAGCAGGCAGGGAGUGGGAAAACUUUACGGUGAAAAAAGGAAGGGAGGUUCUUUGCCUGGGAUGCCGGAGGGGGCCUGACCAGAAGGGGGGCAUCUUCCGUGAUUGGUUGGAAGCAUAUUUGGCUUUCUCUGGUUGAUCCUGAGUUGGAGAGAGGGCAGAGUGGUUGGGGAUUGGGAAGAAGCUGGCACACCAAGUCCUGAUCAUGCUGGGCCCAUUGCUGCAGAGGUGGUGGUUUGGCUUUCCAGGCUGGUUACUGCAGAGAGUUCUAUUGUCAUAUAUGGUCUGGCCACUGUCAUUCGUAUAUUCAGUCUCUAGGAGGGAAGCGUAUGGGCCUCCACUGCUGGAAUGGGCUGGGGGUGGGCACAUACACAGUUCUUCCACAUCUCAUCCCUCCCUGGGGUCAGUGGUGCCCCCCAUUCCCCCAACGUGAGGCCAGUGGCUAGAAGGCUCUGCUCCCAGUAUUGCUUAGCUAUCACACCCACCAAGGUUCUUUUUUUCUUUAAGGCCUGGCUUAAAGCCCAGCUCCUGUUCCAAGUCUUCUUUGAUUGGACCCCUCUCACUUAUUAGCCUUCCUAAAUUCCCAUGGCUUACCUCAGCCUCUGCUGUGUAAAUUCCCAUCUCCUUCCUUGCAUUUGAAAAACCUACACUGAAUAUUUUCCUUCCACUUACUCAGUGCCGUUUCUAUAAAAGCAACAGCAACAAAACAAAAAAUAACAUGCC